UCAGGGUUAGUCGGGACCUAAGCUGAGGCCGAAAGGCGUAGGCGAUGGACAACAGAUUGAUAUUUCUGUACCACCUCGUUAUCAUUUGAACGAUGGGGAGACGCAGGAGGAUAAGAAGAGCGCACCGCUGGUCGAGUGCGUCCAAGCAGUUAGGGAGUUGAAUAGGCAAAUCCGUUCAACAAUCUUGAGCUGUGAUGGGGAGGGAAAUUUAGUACCGAAGCUUCUGAUUCCACACUGCCAAGAAAAUCCUCUAGUGAGAUAACAGGUGCCCGUACCGUAAACCAACACAGGUAGGCACGAAGAGUAUUCGAAGGUGAGCGGGACAACUCUCGUUAAGGAACUCGGCAAAAUGACCCCGUAACUUCGGGAGAAGGGGUGCUUCUUUUACGAGAAGCCGCAGUGAAUAGGCUCAAGCGACUGUUUAUCAAAAACACAGGUCUCUGCGAAGCCGCAAGGCGAAGUAUAGGGGCUGACAUCUGCCCGGUGCUGGAAGGUUAAGAGAAUGUGUUAGAACUUCAUCGAAGCCCCAGUAAACGGCGGCCGUAACUAUAACGGUCCUAAGGUAGCGAAAUUCCUUGUCGGGUAAGUUCCGACCCGCACGAAAGAUGCAACGACUCGAGCACUGUCUCAACGAGAGACCCGGUGAAAUUAUACUAUGCGUGAAGAUGCGCAUUACCCGCGACAGGACGGAAAGACCCCGUGGAGCUUUACUGUAGUCUGAUAUUGAAUGUUUGUAUAGCUUGUACAGGAUAGGUGGGAGCCUGAGAAACGUGAGCGCUAGCUUACGUGGAGGCAUCCGUGGGAUACCACUCUGGCUGUAUGACCAUUCUAACCCAGGACCGUAAUCCGGUUCGGAGACAGUUUCAGAUAGGCAGUUUGACUGGGGCGGUCGCCUCCCAAAGAGUAACGGAGGCGCUCAAAGGUUCUCUCAGAAUGGUUGGAAAUCAUUCGUAGCGUGUAAAGGCAGAAGAGAGCUUGACUGCGAGACCUACAAGUCGAGCAGGUACGAAAGUAGGACUUAGUGAUCCGGUGGUUCCGCAUGGAAGGGCCAUCGCUCAACGGAUAAAAGCUACCCCGGGGAUAACAGGCUUAUCUCCCCCAAGAGU
RNAcentral lists this ribosomal RNA (1106 nucleotides) under feces metagenome. Its description in RNAcentral is "bacterial LSU rRNA". It matches the Rfam family "Bacterial large subunit ribosomal RNA", at positions 1374 to 2499 of the family's 2925-position model. The record is from RNAcentral.